Molecule: ribosomal RNA, 1047 nt
Filed under: Triticum aestivum (bread wheat)
Lineage: Eukaryota; Viridiplantae; Streptophyta; Magnoliopsida; Poales; Poaceae
Description: partial small subunit ribosomal RNA
Source: RNAcentral
AUGCAAUUGGUUAGACAAGCCAUAGGAUCCCCAUGGGGUUUAACCAUAUGCACCGAUGCUGGGCAACCACUGAUGACAGGUGUGAAAGAAGUGUUCCCAGAGGUUGAACAUAGGAAAUGUAUGUUUCACUCGGUGUCCAACUUCAAGAAGAAGUUUCAUGGAAAGGUGUUUGAUGACCAUCUUUGGGCUGUUGCUUACUCAUGGAACCCAUGUAUAUUUGAGAAAAAUUGGGUUGCAAUGGAUAGAGCAAAGCCAGCGGCAACUGCAUAUCUUAGGAGGUGGCACACUAGGUUGUGGUCUAGGAGUCAGUUCUCAACAAUUUCCAAGGUGGAAAAUGUUACAAACAACUUGGUUGGGUGCUUCAAUAAUUGGAUUACGCACCACAAGUCCUUGAACUUGGACGAGUUCUUUGAUAAGGUUAGGCAAAUGAUUAUGAUCAUGUGGAACCGAAGGAGGAAGGUAGCAAGGAAGUUAGUUGGGUUGAUUUUUCCCCACAUAACUAAGAAUUUGAAUGCGAGCAGAGACUUAAACUUGGAGGUGGUAGAAAGCUCAGAUGAAGUUGCUGAAGUGACAACAUUGGGAGGCAACGCUUUUAGGUUUGUGGCCAACUUGCUUGACAGGACAUGUUCUUGUAGACAAUGGCAAGUUUCUGGCUAUCCUUGCAAACAUGGUCUAGCAUUUAUCACAUCUCUUAUCAAUGCCCACAUACAUAAUUAUGUGGACUUGUGCUACUCCAUUGACAAAUUUAGAGCAGCAUAUGGCCAACUAAUCCCUGCCAUGGUUGACAAGAACCAAUGGCCUAAAUAUGACCAUGGAAUCUUCAUGUUUCCACCACUACUAAAAUCCACAGCGGGUAGGCAUAAAACUGAGAGGUACAAAGGCUGCGGUGAGAAGAAAAGAAAAUGCGGCCAACACUUAUGCCCUAUUUGCAAGGACUAUGGGCAUCAUUGGCAUAAAUGCAAGAAGGGUAACCCAGAUGACAUUGCUGCUAUUUUAGCUGUGAGAGGACCACCAAAGAAGAGGACAAAGACCACCAAAUCAGCCUAG